GCCAUGGCUCAGGGGCAAAGCAUCUGUUUUGUAUACUCAAGGUCUUGGGUUCAAUCCCAGGUAUCUCCA
This 69-nucleotide transfer RNA is filed under the name Sphaerodactylus townsendi. RNAcentral describes it as "tRNA-Thr". Lineage: Eukaryota; Metazoa; Chordata; Lepidosauria; Squamata; Sphaerodactylidae. The record is from RNAcentral.